AGAGUUUGAUCCUGGCUCAGGACGAACGCUGGCGGCGCGCCUAACACAUGCAAGUCGAACGAGCGAGAGAGAGCUUGCUUUCUCGAGCGAGUGGCGAACGGGUGAGUAACGCGUGAGGAACCUGCCUCAAAGAGGGGGACAACAGUUGGAAACGACUGCUAAUACCGCAUAAGCCCACAGGUCGGCAUCGACCAGAGGGAAAAGGAGCAAUCCGCUUUGAGAUGGCCUCGCGUCCGAUUAGCUAGUUGGUGAGGUAAUGGCCCACCAAGGCAACGAUCGGUAGCCGGACUGAGAGGUUGAACGGCCACAUUGGGACUGAGACACGGCCCAGACUCCUACGGGAGGCAGCAGUGGGGAAUAUUGCACAAUGGGGGAAACCCUGAUGCAGCGACGCCGCGUGGAGGAAGAAGGUCUUCGGAUUGUAAACUCCUGUUGUUGAGGAAGAUAAUGACGGUACUCAACAAGGAAGUGACGGCUAACUACGUGCCAGCAGCC
Molecule: ribosomal RNA, 495 nt
Filed under: Faecalibacterium duncaniae
Lineage: Bacteria; Bacillati; Bacillota; Clostridia; Eubacteriales; Oscillospiraceae
Description: bacterial SSU rRNA
Rfam family: Bacterial small subunit ribosomal RNA
Source: RNAcentral